UACGAAGGGGGCUAGCGUUGCUCGGAAUGACUGGGCGUAAAGGGCGCGUAGGCGGUUUGUACAGUCAGGUGUGAAAUUCCCGGGCUCAACCUGGGGGCGGCACUUGAGACGUAGGAACUGGAGUGAGGAAGAGGGUCGUGGAAUUCCCAGUGUAGAGGUGAAAUUCGUAGAUAUCGGGAGGAACACCUGCGGUGUAGACGGCUUACUGGACCGCCACUGACGCUGAGGCACGAAAGCGUGGGUAGCAAACAGG
RNAcentral lists this ribosomal RNA (253 nucleotides) under uncultured bacterium. RNAcentral describes it as "partial 16S ribosomal RNA". It matches the Rfam family "Bacterial small subunit ribosomal RNA", at positions 524 to 776 of the family's 1533-position model. The record is from RNAcentral.